RNAcentral lists this ribosomal RNA (484 nucleotides) under uncultured bacterium. RNAcentral's name for it is "partial 16S ribosomal RNA". It matches the Rfam family "Bacterial small subunit ribosomal RNA", at positions 30 to 507 of the family's 1533-position model. The record is from RNAcentral.
AUUGAACGCUGGCGGCAGGCCUAACACAUGCAAGUCGAGCGGAUGAAGGGAGCUUGCUCCUGGAUUCAGCGGCGGACGGGUGAGUAAUGCCUAGGAAUCUGCCUGGUAGUGGGGGAUAACGUCCGGAAACGGGCGCUAAUACCGCAUACGUCCUGAGGGAGAAAGUGGGGGAUCUUCGGACCUCACGCUAUCAGAUGAGCCUAGGUCGGAUUAGCUAGUUGGUGGGGUAAAGGCCUACCAAGGCGACGAUCCGUAACUGGUCUGAGAGGAUGAUCAGUCACACUGGAACUGGGACACGGUCCAGACUCCUACGGGAGGCAGCAGUGGGGAAUAUUGGACGAUAGGCGAAAGCCUGAUCCAGCAAUGCCGCGUGUGUGAAGAAGGUCUUCGGAUUGUAAAGCACUUUAAGUUGGGAGGAAGGGCAGUAAGUUAAUACCUUGCUGUUUUGACGUUACCAACAGAAUAAGCACCGGCUAACUUCGUG